This 621-nucleotide ribosomal RNA is filed under the name uncultured bacterium. Its description in RNAcentral is "bacterial SSU rRNA". It matches the Rfam family "Bacterial small subunit ribosomal RNA", at positions 338 to 951 of the family's 1533-position model. The record is from RNAcentral.
CCUACGGGAGGCAGCAGUGGGGAAUUUUGGACAAUGGGCGCAAGCCUGAUCCAGCCAUGCCGCGUGCGGGAAGAAGGCCUUCGGGUUGUAAACCGCUUUUGUCAGGGAAGAAAUCUUCUGAGCUAAUACCUCGGGAGGAUGACGGUACCUGAAGAAUAAGCACCGGCUAACUACGUGCCAGCAGCCGCGGUAAUACGUAGGGUGCGAGCGUUAAUCGGAAUUACUGGGCGUAAAGCGUGCGCAGGCGGUCUUGCAAGACAGGUGUGAAAUCCCCGGGCUUAACCUGGGAACUGCACUUGUGACUGCAAGGCUGGAGUACGGCAGAGGGGGAUGGAAUUCCGCGUGUAGCAGUGAAAUGCGUAGAUAUGCGGAGGAACACCGAUGGCGAAGGCAAUCCCCUGGGCCUGUACUGACGCUCAUGCACGAAAGCGUGGGGAGCAAACAGGAUUAGAUACCCUGGUAGUCCACGCCCUAAACGAUGUCAACUGGUUGUUGGACGGCUUGCUGUUCAGUAACGAAGCUAACGCGUGAAGUUGACCGCCUGGGGAGUACGGCCGCAAGGUUGAAACUCGAAAGGAAUUGACGGCGNGAGAGAGACGACGACGACGACGAGGGAGGAGG